UGAUCAAUCACACACCUCUCCCUGCACACUGCACACACACCUCAAAGCAAGCGUUCCUGUUGCUCUUCUUGCCAUCGCCCCUCACCUUAGUCGGCUAGCUGAUCCCCCUUUUUUCCGCUUCUUCUUCCCUCCGUGUCUUGUUUUCUUUUUGUUUCUUUGCGUAUGCGUGUGCACGUGCUCGUCUGCGUCUGUCCCGUUUUUUGUCGCGCGUGUGGAUGCACUCGCCUGUAGGGAGUGUGUAUUAAUUCUCUUUCCCUCUCUGUGUGUUUGUGUAUCGUGUUUGACGUGCCCAACUCCCUUUCUCACGUUCUAUGUUACUCUUCUCGUUCAGUCCCUGUCUCGCACACACACUCUUCCCUUCCUUCCCUUUCUCUCUCUUCUUGAUCUUUUUUUCAGUUUUUUUUCGUUCCUCCCUCGCCGUUUUCCUUCGCUUUCUUGUGUGUGUGUGUGUCGUUGUGUCAUUGUAGCCUCUGUCUGUUCGCGUGCCUCUUUUGGUGUGUUGCCACCUAUUUUUGUUGUUGUUCUUUGUUUGCUGACUUGUUUGCGGUGGUGGUGGCUGAUUGUACUUCGCUUCUUUUUCCUUUUGGUAUUUUGCGUUUUGCUGCUCUUGUGCGUAUGUAUCGGUGCUGUUGUUAGGGGUGGGGCUCUCCGUUUCUCGCGUGCUGCUUCUCUCUGCAUCGUCGCAUAAAAGAGCUUCUGUCUGCACGAGGCACAGAAUCAGAGCAAGACAAGCAGACACGCUACUCUACGUCCCGAACAUCAAGUUUUUGUUUGUCUUUCGUGUCGGUCGCUUGUGCGUCUUUUUGCGAGCGAGUGCGUGCGUGCCGUGUCGACUUUCCUCUUUUUUCAGCGGUAAACUCGCCUCACUCUUUGUUUCUUCGCACGCGCACUGGCGCGCGUGCCUGCGCAUACGUGCAUCUCGUGAAGUAGUGCAUUUCUUGUUUCGUAUAAUAGCUAUAUACAUGACCAAGAGAUCUUCCUUCAUCUUGCCAGUAUUCCUUCACCGUCUUGCUGUGUGCUCCUCUCCCACACAAACGCACGAGCGCCAGCACACACACGUACACGCGCACAGAUAAAAGAACGAAUAGCCGUAAACUGCCUCUCCCGCUCCCUCCAUUCCACACUUGCGCCUCCCACUUAGUCCGAGGACUGUGUCUUCGCUCGCACCUCUACUAUUGCGGCUGGUCGCCUCUUGCAACGCCGUCACAGUAUUGCGCUUCUCCAAGGGCUGCCUCACGGGACUUGGGCACGAGAAAAAGCGGGGAGACAUUAUAGACGGCACGGCACGUGAAACGCUGUUGUGCAACAGGGGGCGAGAGCGAAGCAAGAAGAAGUGAGGGGCGUCAUUCCUCGUGCUCGCUCGCUCAUUUUCUCUCGGUGGGCGUCGUCGGAGGUGCGAAACAAGAACGCAAAUUGGCGGAAGGACAGAAAACCCGAAAGCAGAAGAUUGAAAACGGUGAUUUUCUUUUCCUGUGAUCUGCUUGUAUGCAUGGUAACUGCGGGAAACGAAAAAAAAGCAAACGGGGAUAAAAGUAAAACGCCUCUGCCGUGAAGAUACGUGCACCACUAACCACGUAUAUUGUCCCUAGACUGCACGGCGCACCCUCCCCUCCCGCCAACGGCACGCACUCAGUCUAGCAAAAACGGAGAAGAGGCGCUUGUUCUCCUCGUUUGCGAAUUCGCCGGUUCUUUUCCCGUACGCCUUUUCCGUUGCUCCUAGUGAUUCCCUUCUUCCUUCGCCCCCCCACCCCCCAAAGCACACCCUUUUUGCUGACUGUUGUCAACAGCUUUUGUGUGUGUGGGUCUUCCUGUGCUCACGGCUCUCCCUCCCUACACACGCACCCACCCUCGCAGUCGCCAUUCUUUUCGCUCCUUUUUCGGCCUCAGUAAUACGGUUGCCAUUGUCUUUUUCGUUUGCGUGUCUCGGCGCGACGGCGAUUCCGUGCAGCCCUUCGGACAAGGGCGUACGGAGCCGGAAGGGAGAAAGUAAGGAGUGAAACGAAACAGAGAGCGUCUAUCCUCACACCGACAUCCCAAUAGCCCGUUGCUUGGCCAACACGGCGUUGCUGUGAGCUGACUGCUUCCGCUUCAUACUUGUAGCGUAUUUUUUUUUACGUACUCCUCCCUCUCCAUCUCCUGGAACUGCUGUGUUUUUUUUUUUUGUUCCUUCCGUGCCUGUGCAUCUCUCGCUUCCCCAACUGCAGUGUCUCCUUGCUUUGCCUUUCGCGUGUGUGUCUUGUCUGCACAAGAGCAGUAACUCAUCGGCUUGCGAAUCGAAGCAGCGUGCGCGCUUAUAUCCGUAUCAGCACAUACAUGUAUAUAUCGAUAUUGAUAUAUACACCUGCUUUAUUGCUUUCAACGCGAUCGCAGGCCCUCCCCCAUACACUUACACACGUGUCGCGUAGCGGUAACGGUAAUUUGCCUUCCCGUUGCUCAGAGUCGCGCUUAAGUGUAGGAGAGCACGCCCAAGGACUUCAAGAGAGACCCAGCACGCAUCUUCAACACUGCCAGCGGUUGUCUCGCCACUUCGAAGCUCUGCUGCGGCCCGCUAGCCAUCGCGCAAAUACUGGUCAGCCGGUGCGCGCACCAUAGGUCGAGUCAGCAAACAGGAGUGGAAGAAACGUACAUGUAGUUGCAUGGAGGACGAGAAAAUCCACAUCAUCAUUCCCUUAUUCCCACCCCAGCCAACCACCCACGCGCCGAGCCUUCACACGUGCAUUACCACCACCGCCCAUCGCAGACUUCCUCGGCGUGAGAUAAGGGCGACACAGUUUUUCGUCCUUUCUUUUCCAGUCGACGAUAGCGUCACUGCCACCACGACGCAGAGCACUACGUUCUCUUUCUUUUCAUCUUUACGUCUUCUUCGUUUCACUCGCUUGUGCGUGCGUUGACGUGUCCUUUUUGCCCUUUUCAUUCAACGUUUUUUCUUUGUUAUCGUUUUCUUUUUCUUUCGUAUGUGUGUGUGUGUGUGUGAAGGGGCGCCGAUCCUCUGCCGGCUCACUUGCUAGCCGAUAUUGGCCCUUCAUUUGGAUUUGGUGCUCUUCCCCUCCCCUCCCCUCCCCCCAGCAUCUGCACACACACACACACACACACACACACACACGAGGCGUGAAUUGCCGAAGCAAGUCCAUCGGCGAAGGAAAGGGGAGAAGCUGUGUGAGAGGCGCAAAGGUCUCUCCCUGUCGUUUCUCUGAAGAAGAGUCUCAUUAUUGGUCGAGGCUAAGAGGGGCAUCCUUUGGCUCUACUCUUCCAUAUCUGCGUCUCUCUUUCCUGGCCUGCUCGCUCUUUGACUCGCUGAGUGCGCGCAGCUGUAAGUGCGCUUGCCCGUCUACGCUGGCGUUUGGGUAUCUCGCUGCAUCUGCAACGUCUCAUACCAACGCGAUCGCUGGGCGCGGAUGCAAUGUUCGGCUGCGAGAUGAUGAGAUUGAGCAGCGGCAGCGUUCUCGGAGCUGCCCUGAGCCUUGCCGUCACCACCAUGGGUGCCGGCAUCCUCACACUGCCUUCCGCCUACGCAGAUGCAGGCAUCAUCCCUGCAACUCUUAUCCUCGUCGGUGUCGGCAUUCUCACGGUGUUCUCGAUAG
This 3581-nucleotide unclassified non-coding RNA is filed under the name Leishmania donovani. Its description in RNAcentral is "gene:unknown". Lineage: Eukaryota; Euglenozoa; Kinetoplastea; Trypanosomatida; Trypanosomatidae. The record is from RNAcentral.